CGACCGUGGUCUGGUGGACUUGGAGAUGGGCCCUGCCGGCGACCGGCUGGCCUGAAGACGUUAGUGGGAAGUGUUUCCUCUGGCCUGACGUGAUAAGUUUCGUCUGACCUUGGAUGGCACAUGCCCGCUCCGAACCCCAUGUCCUUGGGCAACUCUUUAUGCUGGACCUCAAAUCAGGUAGGACUACCCGCUGAACUUAA
This 200-nucleotide unclassified non-coding RNA is filed under the name soil metagenome. Its description in RNAcentral is "partial contains internal transcribed spacer 2 and large subunit ribosomal RNA". The record is from RNAcentral.